This 301-nucleotide ribosomal RNA is filed under the name uncultured bacterium. RNAcentral's name for it is "partial 16S ribosomal RNA". It matches the Rfam family "Bacterial small subunit ribosomal RNA", at positions 509 to 807 of the family's 1533-position model. The record is from RNAcentral.
CAGCCGCCGCGGUAAAACGUAGGGUGCAAGCGUUAAUCGGAAUUACUGGGCGUAAAGCGCACGCAGGCGGUUUGUUAAGUCAGAUGUGAAAUCCCCGAGCUUAACUUGGGAACUGCAUUUGAAACUGGCAAGCUAGAGUCUUGUAGAGGGGGGUAGAAUUCCAGGUGUAGCGGUGAAAUGCGUAGAGAUCUGGAGGAAUACCGGUGGCGAAGGCGGCCCCCUGGACAAAGACUGACGCUCAGGUGCGAAAGCGUGGGGAGCAAACAGGAUUAGAUACCCCAGUAGUCCCUGUCUCUUAUAC